This 252-nucleotide unclassified non-coding RNA is filed under the name Hevea brasiliensis (rubber tree). Lineage: Eukaryota; Viridiplantae; Streptophyta; Magnoliopsida; Malpighiales; Euphorbiaceae. The record is from RNAcentral.
GGGAUUGUGGAAACCAAAAUGAAGUAUGUUUACUUUCUUGUGCUGUUUAUUGGCUGAAACUAUGAUGCUUUAUACCUGUUGUCGAUGAUGGUCAAACUUCUCAUCAUGACAUGUUAAAAUGUGUUUAUACUUCCUAGAGAUUGAGAUUUUUAGUUACUUAUGUUUUUUUAGCUGAAUCUAACUGCAUAGCUUUGCCUUGGGUAUGAUUCUACUACUUGGAUCUUGUAGGCUAGAUUUAGAUGGAGAAAAUCU